This 440-nucleotide ribosomal RNA is filed under the name uncultured bacterium. RNAcentral describes it as "partial 16S ribosomal RNA". It matches the Rfam family "Bacterial small subunit ribosomal RNA", at positions 338 to 795 of the family's 1533-position model. The record is from RNAcentral.
CCUACGGGUGGCAGCAGUAGGGAAUAUUGCUCAAUGGGGGAAACCCUGAAGCAGCAACGCCGCGUGGAGGAUGAAGGUUUUCGGAUUGUAAACUCCUUUUUUUAGAGAAGAUAAUUACGGUAUCUAACGCAUAAGCACCGUCUAACACCGUUCCAGCAGCAGCGGUAAUAUGGAGGGUGCAAGCGUUACUCGGAAGAACUGGGCGUAAAGAGCGCGUAUGCGGGAUAGCAAGUCAGAUGUGAAAUCCUAUGGCUUAACCAUAGAAUUGCAGUUGAAACUGUUAUUCUAGAGUAUGGGAGAGGUAGGUGGAAUUCGUGGUGUAGGGGUAAAAUGCGUAGAGAUCAAGCGGAAUACUGAUUGCGAAGGCGACCUGCUAGACCAUAACUGACGCUGAUGCGCGAAAGCGUGGGGAGCAAACAGGAUUAGAUACCCCAGUAGUC